This 2273-nucleotide unclassified non-coding RNA is filed under the name Hevea brasiliensis (rubber tree). Lineage: Eukaryota; Viridiplantae; Streptophyta; Magnoliopsida; Malpighiales; Euphorbiaceae. The record is from RNAcentral.
UUCUCAACAAUUGUAGUUGAAGUGACUCCUUUUUCAGACAUGAUUGAAGAGUAAGAGUGAAAUUAGAACCUUUUUUUAACUGAAGUGUGGUGAGGUAUUUUUCGGGGAGGAGAAACAAAAGGGAGAGGAGAAGAAAGAAAAUAAUUAUAUUAUUUAGAAGUUUGUUUUUUCCUUUAUAAUAAUUACGAUUUAGGGUUAUUGGUCAUUUAUGUUCAUUUAUCUAAGGAUGUAGGUUAGAGUUAUAAGUGUUAUUAAUCUAUGUUAAGAUGUAACCUCUAUUAGCAUUCAAGCAUGAGAUAGAUAGGUGGAGAGACAGGCAGAGAAAUAGAUGAGAGAGAGAGAAGGGGGAAGAAAGUUUUAGAAAAAAAGGAACUGUGAUGUGCAUUUCGCAUUAGCAUUUAAAAAUAAUUUAUCUCACAGAGAGCAUUUUCAUCAACAUAGUUCAAUAAUACUUGUGAAUAAUGAGGAAUUUAUUGAGGAAACGUUUUAAACUUAAUUGAGUAAUUGAUAUAAACAGAAAGACUUCUAAUGCAAUUAUGCAGAAGGUUGAAAACUGACACAGGUAUAAACUUCGAGGCUAUAAGUACUAGUGACUUUAAAGUGGUUUCUAGAAUACAACUAAUGGCAACAAAUCAUACACGUCUCAAUUUGACAUGCCAAUAGCUAAAAAGGAAAAUGACUAUAAUCUAGAACAAUGAAAUAGCAAAAAUAAUUUACAUUAGAACACAAAAAGAAACUUGGAGUAGAUAACUAAGGUUCAGAACAUAGAAAUAAUAACAUAAAUAAAUAAAUGACAAGCCAAACAUAAGAAAGGUCUAACCUGAGCUUCAGCACGAAGAUCAGUAUAUGGGACAACACCAGUAAGAAGCUCAUUGAUUGAUAUCCCAAAACUGUAGACAUCUGAUUUUUCAGUAUGCACCUCCUUUCUCAAUAUUUCAGGUGCCAUAUAAAUGAGUGUACCAACCAUGUUCUUUUUGUGGAAACCACCAGUUGGCUUUCCUGAUGAUCUCCAACUCUCAACAGAAACUCUUGUAAGAUUCCUCCUGUAUUCUGCCAAACCAAAGUCUGCUAGGUGUGGACAAAGGUUUCUGUUGAGCUGCAUUGCGUGCAAUAUUUCAGUUAUAUUAUUUGACAUUUUUCUUAAAACAAUUUAUUCAAAAUUUCUGAUCCCAAAGGAAAACUAUAGACCGACAAACAGAUUAUGGAAGAACAUUACAAGAACAUUUGCUGGUUUCACAUCCCUAUGUAAAAUCCCAUGGUCAUGCAGAUACUGCAAAGCCUUUGCUGGAAGAAGAAAACAGUUGAAAGAGGGGAAAGUGUUAUAUUGCUCAACAGAAAAAGUUGUAAUUGAAAAGGAAAAAAACAGGGAUAACAAGAACAUUUCAGCAAUAUGCUCGUAGAAGUUCCCCAUGCAGAACCAAACUAAAAAGAACUCCAUAGAAUAGUAAAAGAGCCUUGUGAUGUCAACAUAUUACUGAACAAUAAAUGGAAACUAAGUUUUAUCUUACAAUAAUCAAGAUAUCAUCAAUUCCAUUUAACUUUCACUCAGAUCAUACAAUUCCUAAAACCUUGCUUGUCCUCUAAGUUUCUUCUUCAAAAAAGUCUUCACCCCAGCUGAACAGUGAUCAUGAGCACCUGAUCAAUACUCGGACUCCAUUCUUCCGCAUGUAAUUUCCCCACAAGAUUGCCAGAUUCAUAGAAUUUGAAAAAGAAUAGGUAAUUGGGAGCCUUUGCAUGAGCUGCAACCAGCUUGGCUAUUCCCAGAUGAUCCAGCGUGCAUAUGAGUUGCAGCUUCUUAUGGAACUUAUCAAUGUCCUCAGAAGUAGACAAGAAGAGUUUCUUCACAGAAACUUUCCUUCCAUCCAAAAUUCCUUCAUAUACUACACUCUCCGCCCCUCUGGCAAUUGGAGAGAGGAGAGCGUAAGAAGACGGAGGAAGGUGAAGAGGAAUGGAAUUGCUGCUGCAGCAACCUCUUAUGCAUGUGUUUGGCUCCACAAUCUCCAGCCCCAUCGUGCAAUCUCUCGUUCUCGCUUUCUACACGCUGUUUCGAAGAGUGGAAGUAGUUGGCAUCGCUAGUCGACGCAAUGCUAGAAAGUGUUCGUAGAGAAGUGAACGAAGAACGGAUGCGAAUUUAUUUUAUUCCAGUUUUUUGGAUGCGAGUUUCAUUUUUCGGUUUUCAUCUCCAGGAAGCUUCUUUUCUUGGCUUUUCCUGUUCAGUCGAGGCCUUCAGAUCUGGUGUCCUGUCAGCGAACUGGCGAAGGGAGAGAGCGGAG